GAUGAAGAACGCAGUGAAAUGCGAUAAGUAAUGUGAAUUGCAGAAUUCAGUGAAUCAUUGAAUCAUUGAACGCACCUUGCGCUCCUUGGUAUUCCGAGGAGCAUGCCUGUUUGAGUGUCAUUAAUAUAUCAACCUUCUCUUUUUGAGUUGUUUGGAUGUGGGGGUUUGCUGGCCUCUUAAAUGAUUCAGCUCCCCUGAAAUGCAUUAGCAGAACAACCUGUUCAUUGGCGUGAUAAUUAUCUAUGCUAUUGAAUGUGAGGGCAGUUCAGCUUUCUAACCGUCCUUGGACAAUUCAUCAUUAAUGUGACCUCAAAUCAGGUAGGACUACCCGCUGAACUUAAGCAUAUCAAUAAGCGGAGG
This 360-nucleotide unclassified non-coding RNA is filed under the name soil metagenome. RNAcentral's name for it is "partial contains 5.8S ribosomal RNA, internal transcribed spacer 2, and large subunit ribosomal RNA". The stretch from base 1 to 120 matches the Rfam family "5.8S ribosomal RNA", at positions 35 to 154 of the family's 154-position model. The record is from RNAcentral.